RNAcentral lists this microRNA precursor (120 nucleotides) under Marmota monax (woodchuck). Lineage: Eukaryota; Metazoa; Chordata; Mammalia; Rodentia; Sciuridae. The record is from RNAcentral.
UAAGGUGAUUAACCUCUCUAGUUUGCUCAGAACUGAGAGGUUCCUGGAAUGCAGGACUUUUGCAACUGAAACUGGGAAAGUCCUGGGCAAACUGGGAUGAGUUGGUUAGCUUACUCAGCU